GCCGGCUCCGAUAUGGCGUAAAUCGCAAGGCGCUAAUGUGGAUUCGCCCGUGUAUGUCGAUGCACGCAGCAUAUCGAACGUAAGGAGGACAUUGCCAUAUGAGCACUCGGGUUGGGAUCAACGGCUUCGGUAGAAUCGGGCGGCUGGCGCUGCGCGCGGCCUGGGGCUGGCCGGAUAUCAGCUUUGC
This 187-nucleotide unclassified non-coding RNA is filed under the name uncultured fungus. RNAcentral's name for it is "sequence contains ITS1". The record is from RNAcentral. Lineage: Eukaryota; Fungi.